Molecule: RNA transcript, 4374 nt
Organism: Panicum virgatum (switchgrass)
Lineage: Eukaryota; Viridiplantae; Streptophyta; Magnoliopsida; Poales; Poaceae
Gene name: alpha-mannosidase 2-like
Exons: 6
Source: RefSeq, a predicted model, not a curated record
UCAAACGAAGCGCUCAAAAAAUAUCGCCGGUGCAGUUCCGGGCACGGGCGGAAAGGCGCACCCACUCGUCGAGACAAAGACGACCCCGCCCCCCCGUGCGCGAGGCCAGUCAGUCAGGCGAGGCCACUACCCCUCGCCCGCGGCGACGAUGCCCUUCUUCUCCGGCGGCGGUGGGGGCCGCUCCGGCGCGCUCCUCCCCACCACCUCCAAGCCCAAGGCGCACCACCACCUCCGCUCCAAGUCCUCCCUCUCCGCGCCCGCCUCCUCCCGCCGCCGCGGGGGGGCCCACCCCGCCUCCUCCCCCUACUCCCGCCGCGCCCUCUGCCUCGCCGCGGCCGCCUUCGCCGCGCUCUUCGUCCUCGCCUUCCUCCGCCUCGGCUUCCCCUCCUCCUCCCGCCCCGCCGCGCGCGCGCCCCACGCCCGCCCCCGCGCGCGCCUCACCCGCAGGCCGGCCUUCCGCCUCCGCGACUCGGCCGCCGCAGAGGCCGCGGCGGCCGCCGUCGCCGCGCGGAUCGGGCGUGAGGCGCCCGUCGACAUCACCACGAGGGACCUCUACGACCGGAUCCAGUUCCUCGACGCCGACGGCGGCGCGUGGAAGCAGGGGUGGGAGGUCAAGUACCGCGGCGACGAGUGGGACGGGGAGAAGCUCAAGGUCUUCGUCGCGCCGCACUCGCACAACGACCCCGGCUGGAUCCGCACCGUCGAGGAGUACUACGACCGUCAGUCGCGCCACAUCCUAGACACCAUCGUCGAGUCCCUCUCCAAGGAUUCGCGAAGGAAGUUCAUAUGGGAGGAGAUGUCGUACUUGGAGAGGUGGUGGCGCGACGCCCCGCGGAAGAAGCAGGAGGCGUUCGCUAAGCUUGUCCGUGACGGGCAGCUUGAGAUCGUCAGCGGCGGCUGGGUCAUGAAUGAUGAGGCAAACUCCCACUACUUUGCCAUCAUAGAACAGAUGAUGGAGGGGAACAUGUGGCUCAAUGAUACUAUUGGAGUUGUUCCUAAAAAUUCUUGGUCAAUCGACCCAUUUGGUUAUUCAUCUACAAUGGCUUAUUUGCUUAGGAGAAUGGGUUUCCAUAACAUGUUAAUCCAGAGAACGCACUAUGAGCUGAAAAAGGAGCUUGCAAUGAAAAAGAAUCUUGAAUAUUUGUGGAGGCAGAACUGGGAUAUUGAAGAAACAACUGACAUCUUUGUUCAUAUGAUGCCCUUCUAUUCUUAUGAUAUUCCACAUACAUGUGGACCUGAACCAGCUAUCUGCUGCCAGUUUGAUUUUGCUCGAAUGCGUGGUUUCAGCUAUGAAUCCUGCCCAUGGAGAUUCGAUCCUGUUGAGACAGAUGCUGACAAUGUGCAAGAGAGAGCAACGAAACUUCUAGAUCAGUACAAGAAAAAGUCAACCCUGUACAGAACGAAUACACUUCUCAUUCCUUUGGGUGAUGAUUUCCGAUAUGUUAGUGUGGAUGAAGCAGAAGUACAAUUCCGUAAUUACGAGAAGCUUUUUGAUUACAUAAACUCUAAUCCCCAUCUUAAUGCUGAAGUCAAAUUUGGUACCCUGGAGGAUUACUUCUCCACACUGAGAGAUGAAGCUGAAAAGAUAAACUAUUCACGCCCAGGUGAAUUGGGUUCUGCUGAGUUGCAAGGUUUUCCAACACUUUCAGGAGAUUUCUUUACAUAUGCUGAUAGAAAUCAGGAUUACUGGAGUGGUUACUAUGUGUCAAGGCCAUUCUUCAAAGCUGUUGACCGUGUACUAGAACAAAUGCUCCGUGCCUCAGAGAUUCUGGGUUCAUUUGUUCUAGGGUACUGUCAGAAGUUUCAGUGUGCUAAACUCCCCAUCAGCUUCUCACACAAACUGACAGCAGCAAGGAGGAAUUUGGCGCUUUUUCAGCAUCAUGAUGGGGUAACUGGCACAGCUAAGGAUCAUGUUGUGGUGGACUAUGGCACUAGAAUGCACACUUCACUGCAAGAUCUACAGUUAUUUAUGUCCAGGGCGGUUGAAGUGCUUUUAGGAGAUUUCCAUGAUAGAUCUGACCCUACAUUGCUAUCGCAUUUUGAAACAGUGCAGGAACGUUCAAAGUAUGAUGUUCAGCCGGUGCAUAGGGUUCUUGACCCUCAUGAAGGGAAGGCACAAUCGAUUGUCUUUUUUAACCCAUUAGAACAAACAAGGGAUGAGAUUGUUAUGGUUGUUGUAAGUACUCUUGACGUUUCUGUUCUGAAUUCAAACGGUUCCUGUUUGCAAAGUCAAGUUUCCCCAGAGUGGAAGUUUGUCAGCGAUGAAAAGAUAUCCACAGGCCGGCACCGUCUUUAUUGGAGGGCUUCUGUUCCUGCACUAGGUUUGGAGACCUACUAUGUGGUUACUGGGCAGGAUUGUGAAAAGGCUAUUCCUGCUGUAGUAAAAACAUUCACAGCUUCACAGCAAUUUCCUUGCCCUGAACCUUAUGUUUGUUCAAAGCUGGAAGGCAAAACAGUGGAGAUGAAGAACUCUUAUUACACUCUUUCUUUUGAUGUAAGUCAUGGCCUCCUUCAGACAGUAACUGGUCACAAGGAUGGGGAACAAAUUGUCAUAGGUGAAGAAAUUGGCAUGUACAGAAGCCAUGGAAGCGGGGCAUACUUGUUCAAACCAAUUGGUGAAGCUCAUUCAAUUGUCGAGGAAGGAGGACAUUUCAUCCUUACUGAAGGGCCAUUGGUUCAAGAAGCCCAUUCUCUUCCAAAAACUGAAUGGCAUAAGUCACCUCUCUCACAUAGUACACGCAUUUACGAUUGUGGGGACUCUAUACAGGAUAUGCUGAUCGAGAAGGAAUACCAUGUUGAGCUUGUCGGCCAUGUUUUUAAUGAUAAGGAACUGAUUGUCAGGUACAAGACAAAUAUUGACAACCAAAGGAUCUUCUAUUCUGAUCUAAAUGGCUUUCAGAUGAGUAGGAGGCAGACAUAUGAUAAGAUUCCUCUACAGGGAAAUUAUUACCCAAUGCCAUCACUUGCCUUCUUGCAGGAUUCACUUGGUACUCGGUUUUCUGUACACUCCAAGCAGUCAUUAGGGGCAGCAAGCUUGAAAAAUGGAUGGUUAGAGAUUAUGUUGGAUCGUAGGCUGGUUCAGGAUGAUGGCCGUGGUCUGGGGCAGGGAGUAAUGGACAACCGGCCCAUGAAUGUUAUAUUCCAUCUCCUCAGGGAGUCCAAUGUCUCAGCUUUGCCUAAAACCCACAGUUUGCUUACUCUUCAACCAUCUCUCCUCUCGCACCGAGUUGGGGCGCAUCUGAACUACCCAAUGCAUGCUUUCAUGAGCAAAAAACCUCAUGAAAAAUCCUUCAAGCUGCCUCAACAGUCAUUCACUCCAUUAACUGCUUCUUUGCCCUGCGAUGUACAUAUUGUGAACCUAAAGGUCCCUCAGCCCCUAAGAUUUCCUCACGCUGAAGCAGCCAGCCAAAGAUUUGCCAUUCUGUUGCAGAGGAGAGGCUGGGACUCAUCAUAUUGCAAAAGGGGUGGAUUGCAUUGUACAACAGUUGGGGAAGAACCAGUUAAUCUGUUCUACAUGUUCAAAGAUCUCUCAGCUGUGAAUGUGAAGGCGACUUCGCUGAAUCUCUUACAUGAUGACCCUGAAAUGCUAGGGUACCUUGAGCAGAUUGGUGAUGUUGCUCAGGAGGGAAAUGUACUUAUCUCACCAAUGGAGAUUCAGGCGUACAAGUUAGACCUACAGCUACCAUCAUUACAGGAAGAGUAGUUUGCCUACAACUUAAACUGAAGUCUGAAGAUGGAUCUUCUUGAAACAGGUGAUAGUGGCAGCCAGAUUGUGCUGGAACACAUACAGUGCUGCAUGUAUAUGUGUUCAUACGUUGGUGAUUGAACCUCUUGAACUUCCUGACCAUUGCUGCUGAGGCAUUUGGUUACAGCCUUUCUGUUGACGAAGUAUGUAGAGAAGUAUUUUUGUACAUAAGCCGCAAGCUAGAAGGAGUCCGGAGCAGAUGCAUCCACGGGGUGAUUACUUCUUUGAAUAUUACUUUUACUUUUAAACAUUUUUGGCUGUCAGGAGAGGCAUACGGUUAUCAGAGAGGCACUCCUGCGAGCAAUGCUGCAUCGGAACAUGUCUUUGACAAUGAGCUUGUGCGACAGCAUGACCACAUUGUGGCGAAUGUUGUGGCAUUGCCUCUGUUUUUUGUGUGAUAUGUGAUCAGCCUCAUGUAACAUAUUAUUUUGAGUUUUAAAACAUAAACAAGUCACAUGUGUUUUUUAACAUAAAAGCAAGUCUGAUUCUUGGGGUGUUUUUUUCGGCUUUUUCUCUUGCGGUUGUAUUUCUGCAAGAGUUAGUUUCGCUCAUGUUAGACGUACAACAUCAACUGGCAAAAUCAUGCCUGCAUUGUUACUGUAACCGUAACUAAAAGUUUUUGUUACUUC